Molecule: ribosomal RNA, 400 nt
Filed under: phytoplankton environmental sample
Lineage: Eukaryota
Description: partial small subunit ribosomal RNA
Rfam family: Eukaryotic small subunit ribosomal RNA
Source: RNAcentral
AGCUCCAAUAGCGUAUAUUAAAGUUGUUGCAGUUAAAAAGCUCGUAGUUGGAUUUGUGGCAGUCGUCGGCGGCUUGGCACUAUGUGCUUUUGCUUGCCUACGUCGCCAUCCUUGGGCGGAUUCUGUGUGGCAUUAGGUUGUCGUGCAGGGGAUGCCCAUCGUUUACUGUGAAAAAAUUAGAGUGUUCAAAGCAGGCUUAUGCCGUUGAAUAUAUUAGCAUGGAAUAAUAAGAUAGGACCUUGGUACUAUUUUGUUGGUUUGCGCACCAAGGUAAUGAUUAAUAGGGACAGUUGGGGGUAUUCGUAUUCCAUUGUCAGAGGUGAAAUUCUUGGAUUUUUGGAAGACGAACUACUGCGAAAGCAUUUACCAAGGAUGUUUUCAUUAAUCAAGAACGAAAGUA